This 454-nucleotide ribosomal RNA is filed under the name Boraceomyia sp. ER-2009. RNAcentral's name for it is "partial 16S ribosomal RNA". Lineage: Eukaryota; Metazoa; Arthropoda; Insecta; Diptera; Mycetophilidae. The record is from RNAcentral.
UAUCAAAAACAUGUCUUUUUGAAUUGAAUUUAAAGUCUGACCUGCCCAUUGAAAGGCUGCGGUAUUUUGACCGUACAAAGGUAGCAUAAUCAUUAGUUUUUUAAUUGAAAACUUGUAUGAAUGGUUCAACGUAAUAUGUACUGUUUCAUAAAAAUUUAUAGAAAUUAAUUUUUUAGUAAAAAAGCUAAAAUUUUUUUAAAAGACGAGAAGACCCUAUAGAGUUUUAUAUAAAAAAUUUAUUAUAAAUUUAUAAAAUUUAAAAUUUUAUGUUUUUUUAUAUUUUGUUGGGGUGACAAUAAAAUUUUAUUAUCUUUUAUUAUUUAUUAACAAUGAUUUUUGAUUUUUUGAUCCAUUAUUAAUGAUUAUAAGAUUAAAUUACCUUAGGGAUAACAGCGUAAUUUUUUUGUAGAGUUCUUAUUAAUAAAAAUUUUUGCGACCUCGAUGUUGGAUUAAA